UGAGGCGACUGUUGUUGUGAUUUGGCGCUGUAUAAAUAAAACUGAACUGAACUGAAAAUAAUGCUAGUGCCUUGCUGAGCAUUCCAGACCUGUUAGAUGAGAAGCUGAGAGAAGACUCAGGUGGAUUAUAAGUGCCAAAUGGAUCAAAACAUCAUGAUUGCCUGGGAUGUAGCUACCCUGCAAAUGGUGACACGGUGAGAUGUCAUACAACUAAAGGUGUCAGAGAGUGACCUCCACCCUCUCAGCACUGUCAGGCCGUCAGAGAGAGAACACAGAAGACCUGCAGACUCAGCUGGACUCUGAAGACCAACUUCCUCCCAUUGGAAAUGCACAAAAAAGGUUUUAAUUUAGAUUUUAGCGUUAUCGUGCACAUCAACAAAUGAGCUGAUUCACAUGUUGAACGGUCUGAGGUCACUGGAUGGAUUAUGUGUAGACGUGUUAGAAGGAAGGUGUCAGAAACCCAGUGAGCAGUGGGUGAAGAGACCUAAUCCUAACCCCUGAGUCAUUACUGAGUGUAUGUGACCACAUGAUGAAGACGGACGUUCCUUAAAUUUGUUCUAGAAGUACAAAUUCAGGUAAGCAGACAUGUGUAGAUGAGAGCUGAAACACAGAAGUUGAACUCUGAAGCUCGUAGGAGUCAUGAGAACUCUGACCUCUGUCACGCUCCAGUCUGUCCACUCUGACCAUCAGCUGCUGCAGGAGGACUCUCAGGUCGUCCUGCCCUCCCGUUAGUUCGGCCUGAAGGAGAACCACAGCACUAAGCUCCAGCAGCAGGAACCAGCCAGAGUCCAUCUCAGCCUCACAGAGAACCAGACCACUGCAGCUUGGUGUUCCUGACCUGUGCACACAGAAGCUUCUGUUUGAACAGCAUGAAGGCUGCUGGACUCUGAUCUUCACAAACACGAUUACCCAUGAUUCAAUGCUGGUUCUUUCAACCACUUAAGUUCUUAUAUGACCUUUGACUCCCAUGCUGGAUCAGGCUGCUUUAACAACAUGAGCAUUUGUCAGUAACUAUGUAUUUUUGAUCGAACUAUCGGUUCCCACAGCUCCCCGUGGGGAUUAUUAGUUUGUUUCUAAGGCCAAGGAUGAUCUUUCUUUGAUUCCUGUGAAGAGCUGCUGGAGGUCACAGGUGUUCCCAAAACAACCUGCUUGGAGUGUUUUAUAAAUUUCCUCACAUUCAAACCGAGUAUCAUCCUGACUGUGUGACAUCACUGAGCGUUCUUCUCCUCAGAUGUUCAGCAUUAAGUACUUGUGAGGAGCAAGUGUCUGUGGACUCAAAGGCUUGUUAACAUAUGCACAUCAAACACGCAGCUCACUGUUGAUGCUGCACUUUUAGUCAGAGUACAGCAUCAAGGCAUUCUGGGAUAUUGAUCUGGACAGUGUUGCAUAUGCUGGGGUCAGUAUCAUGUGACCAUACCUGGACCUUUAAGAGGCUGCACAGGUAGUCCAACUCCUCCAGGAUGGCACAUGAUUACAUGCUAAUGGCAGGUUUGUGUGCCUCCCAGCACAGUCUCAGGAGCAUGAAGGAGACUCCAAGAGAGCUGCGCAGAGCCGUAGAAGGCCUUGACUCAUCAGCAGGACCAGCAUCUGCUCUUCUGUGCACAGAGGAAGAGGAUGAGCGCCAAAAUAGCUACGCUGUUUUGAACGCCUUACCAAACAGACUUCAUGAGGGCGACAUGAGGGCGUAAUGUCCUCGUUCAGUAUGACUGGUUUGGGGAUGCUGAGAAUAUGCAGGCAGCUCUGGAGGAUGACUCGAGUGAUGCCACUGAGUGGGCCUCAUGCUUGCCUGACCAAAAUCCAUUAGAACACCUCUGGGACGUUAUGUUUGGGCAAAGUGGACUCACCUGUAGGUGGAUCCUUCAUUUCCAUCAAACGAUGUGGCAUCUUUCAUUUGUCAGAGCACAGUUGUUGUGUUUUUAAUGUGUAAAGAUGUCCCACUGUAAACAUGCAUUAGGCAAUGUUUCAUAUGUUAAACACUUUUUAUUGCCAGUGUGUGAACAGAAAAAAACAGAAAAAAGAUUUUGUAAUGGAAAAAACAGAUGUUUAGCUGUACUUCUCUGCUUUUUGCCAUUAAGUGGACUGAAGGAAGGAAUGAACGACUUAAUCUCUUCUUUUAAGGCCGUUUUCCUUUGAUUGGCAGCGCCUCUGCUUGCUCAGCAGUGGAGUGGACAUUGGGUAUAGGUGAAAUGAGUUCUACUCUCCAUUAAAUCAUCCUGAUCCAACAGUCGAAAAACCUGUAAUCAACUGUUUGUGCACACACUGAGCUGAGUAUUAGAAACUUGUUUAACAGGAACGCCCACCAUGGAAUAGGCAGUGCGUGACAGGAAGGAAUAAAAGGUUCUCCUUACAUGUACGUUCUCAUUUUGAGCAAUUAUCAAAGAAGUUUCCUCAGCAUGGAAAAUGUUCAUUAAAGAAAUGUGACGGAUAACUGACUCAGUGUUUAAUACUUCUUUCCUAGCAAAAACUUUAAGUUAUUAUUUAUAAAGUCGCCUCAAGGUGCUUCAUACUGUAAGGUCGACCUUGCAGUAAUGCAUUAAAACUGAAGGCCACUGUUUUAUUUUUAACCUGCAGUUUCCUGCUUUCUGCUUUU
Long non-coding RNA from Oreochromis niloticus (Nile tilapia), 2590 nucleotides. RefSeq lists it as uncharacterized. The transcript has 3 exons. The record is from RefSeq and is a predicted model, not a curated record. Lineage: Eukaryota; Metazoa; Chordata; Actinopteri; Cichliformes; Cichlidae.